CCUGAGACUAGAGCCACAUCUUGACAGCUAUUGUCCUGGUGUGCUAGAGUUCUCGGAGAGAAUCUGCUGGUCUUGAUUCACUGACGAGGGCCACAAAUGCCCCAGUUGUGCCCAGAUCAGAAAUAUAG
Small nucleolar RNA from Pipistrellus kuhlii (Kuhl's pipistrelle), 128 nucleotides. RefSeq annotates it as small nucleolar RNA SNORA3/SNORA45 family. The record is from RefSeq and is a predicted model, not a curated record. Lineage: Eukaryota; Metazoa; Chordata; Mammalia; Chiroptera; Vespertilionidae. The transcript has a single exon.